CGCACAUUGCGCCCCUCGGCAUUCCGAAGGGCAUGCCUGUUCGAGCGUCAUUAUCAACCCUCAAGCCCGGCUUGCAGUUGAGCCUCGGCCGUGGACCGGCCGGCUCGAAAGUCAACGGCGGAGUCGGGACGGACCCCGGAUGCAAGGAGCUUCUUCAUGGGCACGCAUCGCGAUGGGUCCCCGGCACCGGCCCCACCCCCUCAUCUCACCACGGUUGACCUCGGAUCAGGUAGGGUUACCCGCUGAACUUAA
Molecule: unclassified non-coding RNA, 252 nt
Filed under: Polyblastia cupularis
Lineage: Eukaryota; Fungi; Ascomycota; Eurotiomycetes; Verrucariales; Verrucariaceae
Description: partial contains 5.8S ribosomal RNA, internal transcribed spacer 2, and large subunit ribosomal RNA
Source: RNAcentral